This 758-nucleotide ribosomal RNA is filed under the name Priestia flexa. RNAcentral's name for it is "bacterial SSU rRNA". It matches the Rfam family "Bacterial small subunit ribosomal RNA", at positions 45 to 784 of the family's 1533-position model. The record is from RNAcentral. Lineage: Bacteria; Bacillati; Bacillota; Bacilli; Caryophanales; Bacillaceae.
GGUCCUAUACAUGCAAGUCGAGCGAACUGAUUAGAAGCUUGCUUCUAUGACGUUAGCGGCGGACGGGUGAUUAACACGUGGGCAACCUGCCUGUAAGACUGGGAUAACUCCGGGAAACCGGAGCUAAUACCGGAUAACAUUUUUUCUUGCAUAAGAGAAAAUUGAAAGAUGGUUUCGGCUAUCACUUACAGAUGGGCCCGCGGUGCAUUAGCUAGUUGGUGAGGUAACGGCUCACCAAGGCAACGAUGCAUAGCCGACCUGAGAGGGUGAUCGGCCACACUGGGACUGAGACACGGCCCAGACUCCUACGGGAGGCAGCAGUAGGGAAUCUUCCGCAAUGGACGAAAGUCUGACGGAGCAACGCCGCGUGAGUGAUGAAGGCUUUCGGGUCGUAAAACUCUGUUGUUAGGGAAGAACAAGUACAAGAGUAACUGCUUGUACCUUGACGGUACCUAACCAGAAAGCCACGGCUAACUACGUGCCAGCAGCCGCGGUAAUACGUAGGUGGCAAGCGUUAUCCGGAAUUAUUGGGCGUAAAGCGCGCGCAGGCGGUUUCUUAAGUCUGAUGUGAAAGCCCACGGCUCAACCGUGGAGGGUCAUUGGAAACUGGGGAACUUGAGUGCAGAAGAGAAAAGCGGAAUUCCACGUGUAGCGGUGAAAUGCGUAGAGAUGUGGAGGAACACCAGUGGCGAAGGCGGCUUUUUGGUCUGUAACUGACGCUGAGGCGCGGAAGCGUGGGGAGCACAAAGGAUUUAUUA